CUACGGGAGGCAGCAGUGGGGAAUAUUGGACAAUGGGCGCAAGCCUGAUCCAGCCAUGCCGCGUGUGUGAAGAAGGCCUUCGGGUUGUAAAGCACUUUAAGUUGGGAGGAAGGUUUGAUGGUUAAUACCCAUCAGAAUUGACGUUACCAACAGAAUAAGCACCGGCUAAUUCCGUGCCAGCAGCCGCGGUAAUACGGAAGGUGCGAGCGUUAAUCGGAAUUACUGGGCGUAAAGCGCACGUAGGUGGCGACUUAAGUCGGAUGUGAAAGCCCUGGGCUCAACCUGGGAAUUGCAUCCGAUACUGGGUGGCUAGAGUACGGUAGAGGGAGGUGGAAUUCCAGGUGUAGCGGUGAAAUGCGUAGAGAUCUGGAGGAACACCGGUGGCGAAGGCGGCCUCCUGGACUGAUACUGACGCUGAGGUGCGAAAGCGUGGGGAGCAAACAGGAUUAGAAACCCCAGUAGUCC
This 465-nucleotide ribosomal RNA is filed under the name uncultured bacterium. RNAcentral's name for it is "bacterial SSU rRNA". It matches the Rfam family "Bacterial small subunit ribosomal RNA", at positions 339 to 796 of the family's 1533-position model. The record is from RNAcentral.